CCUAACACAUGCAAGUCGAGCGAACCCCUCGGGGUUAGCGGCGGACGGGUUAGUAACGCGUGGGAACGUGCCCAAAGGUACGGAAUAGCAUCGGGAAACUGGUGGUAAUACCGUAUGUGCCCUUCGGGGGAAAGAAUUUCGCCUUUGGAUCGGCCCGCGUAAGAUUAGGUAGUUGGUGAGGUAACGGCUCACCAAGCCUACGAUCUUUAUCUGGUUUGAGAGGAUGAUCAGAAACACUGGGACUGAGACACGGCCCAGACUCCUACGGGAGGCAGCAGUGGGGAAUCUUGGACAAUGGGCGCAAGCCUGAUCCAGCCAUGCCGCGUGAGUGAAGAAGGCCUUAGGGUUGUAAAGCUCUUUCAGGGGUGAGGAUUAUGACAGUAACCCCAGAAGAAGCACCGGCUAACUUCGUGCCAGCAGCCGCGGUAAUACGAAGGGUGCAAGCGUUGUUCGGAAUCACUGGGCGUAAAGGGCGUGUAGGCGGAUGGACAAGUUAGAGGUGAAAGCCCCGGGCUCAACCUGGGAACUGCCUUUAAAACUGUUCAUCUAGAAUCCGGGAGGGGAGUGUGGAAUU
This 574-nucleotide ribosomal RNA is filed under the name uncultured marine bacterium. Its description in RNAcentral is "bacterial SSU rRNA". It matches the Rfam family "Bacterial small subunit ribosomal RNA", at positions 47 to 668 of the family's 1533-position model. The record is from RNAcentral.